AGUGAUAUUUAAGACUACUUUUCUACGUAAUAUAUGAAAUAUGUAGUAUAUACAUUCAUCUUUUAUUUUAUUUUAGGAUCAGAAUGUUUCAUUGUUGAAACUGUGACAGACUGUGAUGCUGUGACAGACGAAAGUGUGCUAUAUCAUCCAUUUCAAACCUUGUCUCUCUCCUUCCCUUUCUGACCUGGACCUGGAUGCUUCAGUGCCCUGACUACAGCUAAACAGCAGAAUAGUUUAAUAAUGAGGAAAACUGACCAAAGUGGCAGGACAGUAUAAAUAAAGAUUUUAUUGACAUUUAAGGGAAUGAACAUACAGAUUAUACAAUAGCCAAGAACUCCCAUCCAUGCAGCAGCAGAACAUGCCAGCCUGUAUCUCAGGGGCUUGUACUUCAGGAAAGUGACAGGAUGGACCACCGCCAUGUAACGCUCCACACAGAUCAAACAGAGAAACAGAGGACGGGCGCAGAUAAAUACUCCCCCAUAAAAACUACUAAUGGUGUAAAUUCUAAACAGACAAAACUAAGAACGUAGAAUAAACAGCGUAUGCAGAUGAACAUCUCGUUAACAGUCAGAUUGAGGCCGAAAACUCAGACACAACCGCACUUCCUUUUCUCAUCAAAAUAAGCCACAAGACGUAGGAAUUGAUAGGUAAACCCACAAUGAAAUUGAUUGCAUAACCUGGAAUGUACAUAGGGUCUGUAUAUCCUGCCCAAGGAUUCCUGCUUGUAGCAUUUCUAAACAGGUUUGAGAUGGGUGUGCUGGAAAGCCCAUCAGAGACGUUCAUCUUCAGAGUGCACACCCCUUCUCACGAUAAAAUAUGAAAUCUGAAAUAAAUUACACAAAGAAAAUUAUAUAAGGGCCAAAUAUAAUGAAACAAACAGUCUGUUUUCUUUAUCAGAACAAAUUCAUUGUAUAGUGUUUUUUUUUUUUGUGCAUAGAUCUAGAUCAACAUAGAUCUAACGUGUUCAGUUGAUAUAGUCAUGAUAAAUAUCAUAACUACCAUAGUAAACCAUAGUAAUGAUAGUACAGUUAAAAAGUGAUCUCACCUUUCAGUCAUAAACAGAAUGCAGGAUACCACAAGAAGAAUACAUUAGUAUAUUAAUUUAAUGGACUGACUAAUUAUCAAUUCACAUUAGUUUAAACAUUAUUAAUCAUUAUAUUUUAACUUAAUUAAAUUCUAAAUUCAUUAUAAUUUACAGCAUUCUUAAGCCUAAAUUGUACAAAUUAGUGUUGUGUAAAAUGUCUUAACUAGUAUUAUUUAACAAUGUUCAUUACUGUCAUAAGUACUGUGAUGCAUCCUUCCUGUAAAUUGUUUCUGAGUUCAGCAUUGUUGAGAACUGCACCCUUAAAAUGAUCAGUGUAUUGUUCUGAGAACAGCAACAUCUUUAUCUGAUACACAGAUGCUCUUCUUUGUCAUCAGUUUCAACUUAAAGUGAUGUUUAUUUGAUGGGGUAGGAUUUGGUGGUCUACUAGGUUUUGUAUAGUUAUUAGGGUUUCUCUAUAAUAUUAAAUAAAUAAAAUCUAAUUAAAUCCAAGCUCAAAUGUUACACAAUAAAUGGUAAAUAAAUUGAUUCUUAUGAGUUUUUCUACUACUGUAAAUAUGUCAUUUUAAAUACAACAGCAUUAAUAUACAAUAACCUUUUUUCAAAUCAUUAUGUAUAUAUUUUACUUUAAAGUAAGUAAACGUCAGAAGAUAUUCCAUAAUAAAAAUAUAUAUAUUUCUUAAUGCAUACGUACUGUAUAGGCAGAAAAACUUUAGAUCCAUAAGUAGUCAAGAAAAGCAGACAUCUGGCUAAUUUACCAUAAAAGGCAUCUGUUUGAGUGUGUGUGUGUGUGUGUGACUUUAUUUAAUUUAUGACAUGUGAUUUUUCAUGCAUUUAAAUGUAUGCUAAGCUAAUGUCAGUAAGGUAAAUGCCAGUAAUGUUUGACAUGAAGGGUAGCAGUUUUAUGUAGCAUACAUCAAUGUAAAUUCAAUAAAUAUUGACUAAAUGCAAUAAAAAAAUUCAAACAAAAAAAACUUUUCAUGUGAUGUAAACUACAUCCAACAUCAACAAAAAUAAAAUCUACAGCCAGA
Molecule: long non-coding RNA, 2073 nt
Organism: Astyanax mexicanus (Mexican tetra)
Lineage: Eukaryota; Metazoa; Chordata; Actinopteri; Characiformes; Acestrorhamphidae
Exons: 2
Source: RefSeq, a predicted model, not a curated record